Molecule: long non-coding RNA, 2026 nt
Filed under: Suricata suricatta (meerkat)
Lineage: Eukaryota; Metazoa; Chordata; Mammalia; Carnivora; Herpestidae
Description: lncRNA (ENSSSUG00005005564.1)
Source: RNAcentral
ACACACCCAUCUUUCCUGAAAGCUUGGGGACAGCUGUCACUUCACUGGUGGGGGGGCCUCUGCUCCUGAUGCCUCCAGGCUAUGGCCUGCCUUCCGUGGGGCUGACGUGUGUGCUUUGAUUUUCCAGGAUGUCGGGGGAGCUGCAGAGCCACGUGAGCAUCUGUGAGUAGCAGAGCCCCGACAGGAUGGUUGGUGCUGGGUCGGGGGAGGGCCUAGGAAGGCUGGGCACCAGUGGGAGGGGGGCUCUCAGCCUUGUAGUUUCCGGUUCUGCUCAGUAACCAUGAAAGUGAGCAGACAAACUGCAGAGCCGAGGGGGAGAGGGGAGUCGCUGAAACAAACGGUUAUGCUUUUAGUUCUUACUCAUUUUACUUUUUCCGAUACAAUCAUCUGUAGCAGCUUGGAACUCUUUAAGCUGUGCAGAGCAGCCAGACUACCGUCAGCAGCGGGGGAGGUGGCGGUGGCCGAGGCUCUAGAGGUUAUGGUGGCGGCUACAGUGGCGCCAGCUCCCGCAGGGGCGGCAGCAGCAGCAGUAGCAGCAGAGGCUACGGCAGUGGCGGAGGCGGGGGCUCCCGAGGGGUCAGCGGAGGUGGUUAUUCCGGCGGCACCGGCGGGAGCUACGGAGGGAGCAGCAGGGGCAGCAGCAAGUACGGAGGCAGCGGAGGCUUCUCCCGCGUGCAGAUCAUCCAAACUUCCACCAACACCUCCCACAAGCGAAUCGUGGAGUAGAGGGAAGGCUCAGCCCCACCCCACCAGCUCCCAGCGGCAAGGCUGUCAUCUGUUCCCUCCCCCACGCCCUUCCUGAACCCCUCUCACUUACCUUUUCCUUAUGGGUCUCAGCAGUUUUGCCAAAUACAUCGCACUUUCCCCGGGGAAGCAGGUGGAUAUUGGAUCUAUCUUCGGGAGGGUGCUGGCUGGCAGGCAGAAUCACAGCCAGACACACUCAACUCAGACUCCACUCAGCUGGCCCUGCUCCUGCCCCUGGGAACCCUCAAGGGCCCCAGUUUAGAGAUGGAGAAAAGGAGCCCUAUAGUGUAUCUACAAAGCAGAUAAUAGAGUGUUAAUGUCAAGGACCCCAGGUAUCUCACUCCCAGGCUCCCUUUCCUGCACCUGGGCUGCUCUGUGGACAAUAACCCAUCCCUUAGGGCCACAGAAUGAAGCCUCUGGGCAAGUUGCUUGGCAAGGGGAACCUGUGCCUGGGCCCAUUACUGCCUGUUGGUCUGUUAGCCUCCUACUUUCAUUUCCUCCAUCCAUGCAGAGUAUGGAUUUGCUGUCCUCAUCAGACACCUGUAAGUGAUCUCUGCUCUUGCUUCUGAAUCUCUGUCUUAAGAAGCAUUAUUCUCGGGGUUAACAGCCCAAGAUGGGAGUCUUUCCGAGGACAUACGUCCUUGUCCCCUGGGAGGACUGAUUAUCCCUAAAUGGAGGAGUCAAUGGACAAACAAUCCAUUGUUUCUGCCCCGCCCUUCCUGAGAGCUCCAUUCUUUGGAAGCCUGGCCCUUUCUAAACUCUGCUCCAUAAUGGCCCUCCUGAGAAUUGUCUAGCAGACUGGGCACAUGCAGCCCAGGUCUGCUUAGUCCAGGUGCCCAGGCCCUGGAGAUUUUGAGGCUCAGACAUGGGCCUUUGGAGGGUUCAGUCCUGAACCAGUUUGGAAGCUGCCUGUAAUUUGUCAGGAAACUUAGUGUCCUUUCCCAGAUCUCAAAGUCCCUCCUGACUCCUGUUCUCUGUGACUGAGCACUUUGUGAGAAUUUGAUGCUUGAAAUGUGCUGGAGGGGAUGGGAAGGGGAAACUACUGGCCAACUAGCAGGCCUUGAGAGGGAGAAGGUGACUUUACUUCCCGAGUCACUUUCACUUGUUUGCUGAGUCCUAAUAUGACCUCCAAAUCCAUGAUUCUCUUGGGGCAUCUGCCGGGCUCAGCAUGGGUUCCUUGGGGAGUGCUGUGACUUCAUCACUUCCUGGUUGAAGCUUGUACCUUGAAAGGCUUGACAUUUUUGGUGUUUCUACAAUAAAAUAUUCUGUGAUCUCAAACUGC